RNAcentral lists this transfer RNA (82 nucleotides) under Komagataella phaffii. Its description in RNAcentral is "tRNA-Leu". It matches the Rfam family "tRNA". From Rfam's summary of the family: Transfer RNA (tRNA) molecules are approximately 80 nucleotides in length. Their secondary structure includes four short double-helical elements and three loops (D, anti-codon, and T loops). The record is from RNAcentral. RNAcentral also lists the same sequence under 2 other names. Lineage: Eukaryota; Fungi; Ascomycota; Pichiomycetes; Pichiales; Pichiaceae.
GUCAUUAUGGUGGAAUUGGUAGUCACAAUACACUUAAAAUGUAUUGCUUUAUAGCGUAUAAGUUCGAGUCUUAUUAAUGACA